GGGAUUCAACGGCACGGAUAUGGAACCUCAGUGAAAACAGCACAAGUGGCUCCACGCAGCUGGUACUUCGACACUGUAUACGAGAAGGAGGGCAGGAUGUACCGAGCAACAAAGAUGUCACAUCCCUGGAUUGGAACAGUGAAGGUACACUUCUAGCAACUGGGUCCUAUGAUGGGUUUGCAAGGAUAUGGACUAAAGAUGGUAAUCUUGCCAGCACCUUAGGGCAACAUAAAGGUCCUAUAUUUGCGUUAAAAUGGAACAAGAAAGGAAACUUCAUUUUAAGUGCAGGAGUGGACAAGGUGAGAUUAUCUUUGGUAAAAUUA
Molecule: non-coding RNA, 323 nt
Organism: Tinamus guttatus (white-throated tinamou)
Lineage: Eukaryota; Metazoa; Chordata; Aves; Tinamiformes; Tinamidae
Source: RefSeq, a predicted model, not a curated record